Small nuclear RNA from Mustela lutreola (European mink), 110 nucleotides. NCBI's taxonomy places the organism in Eukaryota, Metazoa, Chordata, Mammalia, Carnivora, Mustelidae. The record is from RefSeq and is a predicted model, not a curated record.
GUGCUGACUUUGGUAAUACGUAUACUAAAAUCGGAAUGAUACAGGUAAGAUUAGCAUGGCCCCUAGGCAAGAAUGACUCACAAAUUCUAUAUUUAUGUUAAUAUAUAUUU